RNAcentral lists this ribosomal RNA (253 nucleotides) under uncultured bacterium. RNAcentral describes it as "partial 16S ribosomal RNA". It matches the Rfam family "Bacterial small subunit ribosomal RNA", at positions 524 to 776 of the family's 1533-position model. The record is from RNAcentral.
UACGUAGGGCGCAAGCGUUGUCCGGAAUUAUUGGGCGUAAAGAGCUCGUAGGCGGUUUGUCGCGUCUGUCGUGAAAGCCCACAGCUUAACUGUGGGUCUGCGGUGGAUACGGGCAGACUAGAGGCAGGUAGGGGAGAACGGAAUUCCCGGUGUAGCGGUGAAAUGCGCAGAUAUCGGGAGGAACACCGGUGGCGAAGGCGGUUCUCUGGGCCUGUACUGACGCUGAGGAGCGAAAGCGUGGGUAGCAAACAGG